RNAcentral lists this ribosomal RNA (251 nucleotides) under uncultured prokaryote. RNAcentral's name for it is "partial 16S rRNA". It matches the Rfam family "Bacterial small subunit ribosomal RNA", at positions 525 to 775 of the family's 1533-position model. The record is from RNAcentral.
ACGGAGGGUGCAAGCGUUAUUCGGAAUUACUGGGCGUAAAGCGCGUGUAGGCGGUCCUGCAAGUCUGAUGUGAAAUCCCCGGGCUUAACCCUGGAAGUGCAUUGGAAACUGUGAGACUUGAGUACUGGAGAGGAAGAUGGAAUUCCCGGUGUAGGGGUGAAAUCCGUAGAGAUCGGGAGGAAUAUCAGUGGCGAAGGCGACCAACUGGACGGUAAUUGACGCUGAGACGCGAAAGCGUGGGGAGCAAACAG